Molecule: long non-coding RNA, 717 nt
Organism: Macadamia integrifolia
Lineage: Eukaryota; Viridiplantae; Streptophyta; Magnoliopsida; Proteales; Proteaceae
Exons: 3
Source: RefSeq, a predicted model, not a curated record
AGCUGAAGGUGAUGCAGGAGAACAAAGGUCAUAGGAGACCCGGUAGCCUUUCAGUGGCGGCAGAGGUAAAAGAAACCUUGACAGAUUUGAGAAGUAGAUGAUUGAACAUAUAUGUUGGAGGAAUGAAAAGGUGUUUGAGAUAAGCAAAUCUGUAUAUGUUGUGGAAUUGAGAAAAGCAUAUGGCGAUCUUUCGUUGUACAGACAGUUGUGUUCAAAGCUUUCGAAUGAGCUAGGCGUAAGAGAAGAGAUUUUGGCUGCACAAGUGUAAUGCCGGAGUUCUUUAGCUUUGGUCUUUUUAGGUUCAGGUCUGAACUUGUAAAUUUUUCUUUUCUGCCUGAAGAGGUAUAAAAUAAAGGGAAAAGUUUUGUGCAAGGCUGUGCAUGGUUUACCAUGCGUUGAACCGUUGGAUGGAUGAAGGGCCAUGUAUCUUACACGGUCAUGUCCAUCCAAUGGUUUAGUGCAUGACCAUGCACAUAACCUUUUGCCUUAGAAUAAUGACCCUUUAAAUGUAUUGUCCUUGAAAAGCCCAAAUCAAUUUAAGCAAUGGGUGAAGGGAUUCCCCUAUCACCAAUGUUCCAUCGCAAUUCCUUCACUAUCAUCUCAGAAAUUAUAGCAUAUUCAGCUCUAAGAUUUUACAGGUUAGGGUUGCCUUCUCAUACAUGAAAAUAGGGCAUAUUCAGCUCUGAUUAGCUGCUGUGAGCGGCCAAAUCUGAUUUU